AUGGCUGCAGCCAAGAAGUUGCUCUCCCUGAUCAUCAUCCUAGCUGCAGCUUCCUCUGUCCACACCGCAACCGAAAGAUCCAACGGGAGCUGCAUCCCGGCCGAGAGGGCCGCGCUGCUCUCCUUCAAGGCCGGCAUCACAGGCGACCUAGACAAUCGCCUCGUCUCAUGGCAGCAACGACACCACGACUGCUGCCGGUGGAGCGGCGUCACCUGCAGCCGCCGGACAGGCCACGUCGUCAAGCUCGACCUCCGCAGCGGUUAUCAAUUUCCGAUUUCAGAAUAUUAUCUCUCGGCGUCACCUGAAGUAUUAUUGUCGUCGAUGGAGUCAGUCUAA
RNAcentral lists this ribosomal RNA (336 nucleotides) under Triticum aestivum (bread wheat). Its description in RNAcentral is "partial small subunit ribosomal RNA". The record is from RNAcentral. Lineage: Eukaryota; Viridiplantae; Streptophyta; Magnoliopsida; Poales; Poaceae.